This is a long non-coding RNA of Chinchilla lanigera (long-tailed chinchilla), 1116 nucleotides long. RefSeq lists it as uncharacterized. The transcript has 2 exons. NCBI's taxonomy places the organism in Eukaryota, Metazoa, Chordata, Mammalia, Rodentia, Chinchillidae. The record is from RefSeq and is a predicted model, not a curated record.
UUGGGUCAGCUCCAGAGCAUGCUGCUCUCAGUAUGAGACCUGCAACAGUGCUACACCCAGGGAGAUCUGAGUGGCCCCACAGCUCUAGCUGUCCAUUUCCACUGGGAAGGCCAGUGGAAAGUGUUUCAAAAGUGACAACUUCUAAUUGUUCUACAUCAGGCCAGAAGCAUUCUAUGCGAUCACAAUGGCACCAACACAGGUUUCAAAAUAUUCUUUGUAUUCUUAAGAACCCGUUUUAAUCAAAUUUAGAAUACAGCACCAAUAAUUUUCUUGUCAUGGUGUUAAUAUACUGUGUCACUUCAGAUGUUCUUACAUGUUUCAAAAGGCAAAUGCUAGCAGAGAUUUGACACUAUGAAUACUCAAAACAUGAUGUUGAAAAAGAACAGCAGAAGCCUGUUUACCCCAGACGCUGCUGGGGAGGCCACCAGAGCAGUGCUCUGUCGUCCUGAGCUGACCAAACAGGCAGCGAGCACUUCCUGUGAGGAGCCAUGUGACUGUGCGCAUGACUUACUCCACACCCACCCCCGAUCUCUCUGCAAAGCUGCACACCAUCUAGGAGGAAAUAAUAGUUGGGGUGGAGUCCAUAACCAGAACAUGACACUAGACAUCAGGGAAGGGAAGUGCCUUAGCAAGAACCACACUGUUCUGGGCAGAAACCUCAGGCUUUGAAGAAAUACAGCUGUCUGGUCGCCAGCAAGUCCCCCAGGAGGACAGCCACAGUGCACAAUGUCAGUUACCAAGUUGGCAGUCCGAUCAACACGGCUGGUGUACGUGCUCCUCUAAGUGGAUUAUCAGUCAUUCGCGCAUCUGAUAACACAGGUACUGACCGCCUUCAAGGGGACAGGACUGUGCCAGCUGCUAGAGAUACAAGGAAAAGAAGAGAAAGCAUCUGACCUUAGAGGAAACUUCGUGAGGAGGAGAUGAAGGAGCCCAGGCUGCACAGACGGAAGACCUCGAAGAGGUGACAGCUGCGAAAAACUCAUGACUACCUGAACAUCCCCCCAUCAACGGUUCAACUUGGUCUGCACAGGCCUGGCCCAAGUGAUCAUUUGAAAGCAAAGGAGACUAUGGAGGUGAUGAAAACAUACAACAUUAAAUAAAUAUGUCUCUACUCUU